Setaria italica (foxtail millet) is the source of this 2987-nucleotide long non-coding RNA. RefSeq lists it as uncharacterized. Lineage: Eukaryota; Viridiplantae; Streptophyta; Magnoliopsida; Poales; Poaceae. The record is from RefSeq and is a predicted model, not a curated record. The transcript is spliced from 4 exons.
GGGAGGUGGUGGCACUCUGCAAUUUGCCACCCUUCCUCCCCUCGUCCCCAACCCCGGACCGCCAUCGCCGGCGACGGCGAGGACGCACCGGCUUCUCUCUCGCUCGGGCCUUGCAGCUGCAGCUCAGAUUUGCAGGGGAGUUCAGAUGGUUCCCGUCGCGCAGGGGGAGGCGCCCAGCCAAGGGAUCGGAUGAUGGAUCGCUGCAUGCCUCAUUGGUGAGGACCGGGAUGCCUCCCCGAACAAGUCCACUCUGAACAAGUCCACUUGUCCAAUGCGUGCUGAAUUCGGUGAUGAUAUGGUUGCCAUGUCAUGUACGCAGUAACGCAGCCGUGGUGCUUUCCUGGUCAUAAAUCUGCAAGACCGUAAAAGACUGAUUCCUGACCAGGAGUAUGUGUUUUGAGGAUCUUCAGGUAACAGGUAUACAGUAUCUCAGUUAGGAUACGACCCAUUUUGUAGAUUGCAACUAAUUAGCAUACUAGUUUGUUAAUUAUAGUUUUGCAUGCCAGGGAUCUUAAAAAGUUGUUUAAGACAACACCCUCUUCAGGCUCUUCUUUUAAUUUUUGUUCCUAGCUUGAUCUUCACAAUUUAACUAGUUAGCUAGCUUAGGGAAAAAAUGAGCUAGGUAUUUACUAAUGAGAAAAAGAUCGAAAUUGUUUUCAGUUAAUCUUAAUUGCCACCUCAAAAGUUUUUUCCUGAUGUGUUCACUUGGGUGUGAAUACAGAUGCAAAGCAGUAGACCAAAGUAGGUGAUUUGAUUGAACAAGUGAGAAUUUAAUUGGAGGAGAUGCAUCAUGCAUGCCAUGAAACUGAAAUACGGGCAAUCAACGACAACUGAUAAAUGCUACAUCCAUCAUUUGGUGAAUAUGUACCUGAAGCUUGAAAGGCAUGUUUUUGUUACGAACCCAAAAGAAGAUGAAUUGUAUUGCCCAAAAACUAGGCUCCAGGAAUGGUCGCUUCUCAGAAGCUGCCAAAGAAGUGAAAGCACCAUUACUUGGUCUUUAUUCACCAGUAUGCUGUACUGCUGUAUACUGAACAUAUUGCGGAGUCACCAAAAAGAUGUAUGAUUACUAGAAGCUAAUGUCACCAAUCCUUUGGAUGUGAGUCUGACAUGUUAGGAACAGGCUCCUAGUCGAAGCAAAACAGAGACCUCGUUACAUGAACCUGUUCAUGGUUUUCCUAUUAGAAACUGAGCGUCAUAUCAGUGUUUCAACAUUGGUCUAUUUAUAAGACUAAUAACUACUAUUUGGUGACCCUUCCUUUUCAGAACCACUGUUUAGAACAGUCAAGACCAAUCUUUAAUCCAGAUAUCAGUAUCCAAUUGUCUGUUCUAUAUUGCUAGUGUAACUGAUACUAUGUUGAUUUUACAGAUGGCUUAUAUAAUACCAUUGCCUGGUUCCCCUACGUUUCAUUCAGUUACUGGAGUGAAAUGAAAACGACUGUCUUACACACCGCGUCGCCGCGAAUAAUUGGGUAUGGAGAACCUGUCUCCCUGAAAACAAUUCAGAGACUGUAACUGUAUGGUUCAAAGUUCAGACCAGGGGCAUGGACUGGAGGGGCAAGGCAAGGACGGACACGGACGCCCGCACGGCCGGCCCGGGUGUCCGGCCGGCAGCUACAGUGCGCCACUCGCCGUGUGCACGUGCGCAUGAACUUGUCCCCCCGGUGUUCCAUCACGCAUUCAUGCGCGCUGUGGCUGUUGCUGAUUUUGACUCGGUGCUCGUGGAGUCGGGACACACGGGGGGUGGCCCGAGCUGGUGUGCGGCCGGGCGGACACGGCACAUGCCCGCGCAGUUGCCGCCGCCACUGUUCAUCAGGGAGACGCACUGCAACUCCUCAGAGGCUGUGCUCCGGAGUCUCUCCCCCAACCGCUGCCGCUACAGUGAUGCAGAUGCAGCACGCGCUCAAACUUUUGCUGGGAGCGCUGCUGGAUCAUCCUGAUAUUAUUCGCCGUGCCUGGUGUUCCGGUUCGCGGAUGCAGACGUGCAGAGCAGAGGUGGUCAAUUUCUGGUGCAGGGUGAAGAGGGAGGUUCUUGAGACUGGUUGCUUGCGCCAGCACUGAUGAUUUGGUCAAAGUGUCUUGCAACAGGGGAUUUUUGGGCAUAAACACAGUGCGUGGAGAUCCCAGUGACACGUAGGCUUGGUCAAAACACUGGAGAUCAGAUCAGAGGACAAGCUGCGUGCAUGGGCUUGUGCUGCAGCUACAUGUCUGACGAUAUCUCUGACAGGGCAUUCAGACAUCGUCCUGUACCAUACCUGAAGAAGCUUAUGAUUGGUUCACUUGGCCUCAUAAACAAAUGAAGGCUCCUCUACUAGUCAUAUAAGCAUGGAAUUCAUCCAUCCAUGCAGGCACAAGUGCAUGGCAGCAUAUGUACUAUGCACUCAAGAAGCAAGCAAACAUGGAACAAGCGAGGGAGUGACAGCAUGAUGGCAGUUGAGGUACGCAAUGCAAGUGCUUUUUCUCCGGAGCUGCAAGAGCAAGCAGGGGGAGGCAUGCAAUUAGGGCAUAUUCUACUGCAAGCACUUACGGCUAAACAUCACAUGAUCACCACCAUUUGGAAAGAAAAGAAAGGAUGCGGGGGUGGGGCCCGCCCCUAAUGACCCUUUUCUAGCCCAGCACAGCAGGUGUUUGUGUCUCAUCUAGUAGUGGGUACUAGGAGGGGGCUUAGGAUACUGCCUAGUGAUCUUGAGACAUGUGCUGCUGCUAAUGCUUCAUUAAAGGGUGAAUGGAUCGCAGGACGCUGCUGCCGCUGCCGCUGCGAACACACCCGCGCGCCAUUAUUUCUAAUCUCUUUUGUUUUGUUUGCUUUUGUUGUGGUAGAUUAGUAGGGGGGCGGAUGAUGAUGCACUACUGCGAGUCUGCAACCUACGGCCACCAAAUAUUUUAUACGUUUUUAAUUUGGCACUAGCAUAUCUUUCAGCGAUCACAAGAAGCUACGGUGCCUACCCUGCUCAUCAUCUGCUGGCCCAUUGGAGGCAACCUUGCUACAA